Molecule: unclassified non-coding RNA, 277 nt
Filed under: uncultured bacterium
Lineage: Bacteria
Description: contains 16S-23S intergenic spacer region
Source: RNAcentral
UCCGAGUUGACCCCGGCAGUCUCCUAUGAGUCCCCACCAUCACGUGCUGGCAACAUAGAACGAGGGUUGCGCUCGUUGCGGGACUUAACCCAACAUCUCACGACACGAGCUGACGACAACCAUGCACCACCUGUGCACGACCCUUGCGGACCCCCGCCAAUUCCUUUGAGUUUCAAUCUUGCGAUCGUACUUCCCAGGUGGAUUACUUAAUGCUUUCGCUCAGACACCAACAGUGUAUCGCUGAUGUCGAGUAAUCAUCGUUUAGGGCGUGGACUAC